GGCGGUGACAGUAGGAGGAAGCAGCAGCGGCGUGUCCGCUCCGCCCCACCGGCGGCAGGCGGGGUUCUCCGCAGCGCGCAGUCGGCCGCCGCCAGGACAGCAGGCAUAAGGAGUGAAACCGGUUCCCAGUUUCUCCAGCAGCAUGUCUGUUUCCUCCAGUUACUUUGCAGCACGUGUGCACACUUCUAACAACUCUGUGCUUGCAUGUUUGAGUUCUGUCCUCAUUGGGUUCAGUGGUUGGUGGAGAGGAAAAUCAACACUUUUCAACCAACCAACCGCAACAACAACAACAGCCCUCCCCAAACCCCAAUA
This 312-nucleotide long non-coding RNA is filed under the name Manacus vitellinus (golden-collared manakin). RNAcentral's name for it is "lncRNA (ENSMVIG00005017861.1)". The record is from RNAcentral. Lineage: Eukaryota; Metazoa; Chordata; Aves; Passeriformes; Pipridae.